RNAcentral lists this ribosomal RNA (890 nucleotides) under Clonostachys rosea. RNAcentral's name for it is "partial large subunit ribosomal RNA". It matches the Rfam family "Eukaryotic large subunit ribosomal RNA", at positions 37 to 963 of the family's 3401-position model. RNAcentral also lists the same sequence under 2 other names. The record is from RNAcentral. Lineage: Eukaryota; Fungi; Ascomycota; Sordariomycetes; Hypocreales; Bionectriaceae.
AGCAUAUCAAUAAGCGGAGGAAAAGAAACCAACAGGGAUUGCCCUAGUAACGGCGAGUGAAGCGGCAACAGCUCAAAUUUGAAAUCUGGCGCAAGCCCGAGUUGUAAUUUGUAGAGGAUGUUUCUGGCGACGUGCCUUCCGAGUUCCCUGGAACGGGACGCCAUAGAGGGUGAGAGCCCCGUACGGUUGGAUGCCUAGCCUCUGUGAAACUCCUUCGACGAGUCGAGUAGUUUGGGAAUGCUGCUCUAAAUGGGAGGUAUACGUCUUCUAAAGCUAAAUACCGGCCAGAGACCGAUAGCGCACAAGUAGAGUGAUCGAAAGAUGAAAAGCACUUUGAAAAGAGGGUUAAAAAGUACGUGAAAUUGUUGAAAGGGAAGCGUUCAUGACCAGACUUGGGCAGGUUGAUCAUCCGUGGUUCUCCGCGGUGCACUCUGCCUGCCCAGGCCAGCAUCAGUUCGCCCCGGGGGAUAAAGGCUUUGGGAAUGUGGCUCCCUCGGGAGUGUUAUAGCCCACUGUGUAAUACCCUGGGGUGGACUGAGGUUCGCGCUCUGCAAGGAUGCUGGCGUAAUGGUCAUCAACGACCCGUCUUGAAACACGGACCAAGGAGUCGUCUUCGUAUGCGAGUGUUCGGGUGUCAAACCCCUACGCGUAAUGAAAGUGAACGUAGGAGAGAGCUUCGGCGCAUCUCCGACCGAUCCUGAUGUUCUCGGAUGGAUUUGAGUAAGAGCAUACGGGGCCGGACCCGAAAGAAGGUGAACUAUGCCUGUAUAGGGUGAAGCCAGAGGAAACUCUGGUGGAGGCUCGCAGCGGUUCUGACGUGCAAAUCGAUCGUCAAAUAUGGGCAUGGGGGCGAAAGACUAAUCGAACCUUCUAGUAGCUGGUUUCCGCCG